AAAAAUAUUACUGAAUCAGAGAAACUAAGGUUCAGAGACAUAAAGUCACUUGCUGACGUUUAUUUAAUGGCAAAGCCAGACCCCAUGUCUCCAAAUCCUGUGGGCUUUUCCCUCACGUUGCCUCUCCACACCCCAGUGGCCUUGAUGAUGCUCAAGUUACACCAUCCCUUCGAUCUCCUUUCUCCAGGGCAUCUGCUCCCAACUGCUAGAAGAUGCUCUGGACCAGAAUAGCAGUUGCUGUCAGUAUCGGAAGUUCUCCCUGCUGUCUGCCCUCAAGGCUUCCCACUGUACUGCCCUGGCCCUGGGCUCACCUGAGAUUGCUGGGGAAAAGAAAGGGUCAACCGGGAGGUUUAGACACGUGGAGAAGGAGUGUGCCUGGCUCUACCAGUUGGAACUGGGAUCAGAAGUGGAGCUGAGGAGGCUGGUCCAGGGAGAAUGCAGUGCUAAGAGACGAUGCUGCUGACAAGCCCGGCCUCAGGCUGGAGUCAGACUGCCCUGAUAUUACAUUACUGAGGCACACUAGGCUAAGGCUGACAACACCAAAUGCUGGCAGGAAUGUGGAGCAACAGGAACAGGAAUUCGUGGCUGAUGGGAAUG
RNAcentral lists this long non-coding RNA (597 nucleotides) under Homo sapiens (human). Its description in RNAcentral is "HSALNT0296135". The record is from RNAcentral. Lineage: Eukaryota; Metazoa; Chordata; Mammalia; Primates; Hominidae.